AUACGGAGGGUGCAAGCGUUACUCGGAAUCACUGGGCGUAAAGGACGCGUAGGCGGGUUGUCAAGUCAGAUGUGAAAUCCUACAGCUUAACUGUAGAACUGCAUUUGAAACUGGCAACCUAGAGUAUGGGAGGGGGAGAUGGAAUUAGUGGUGUAGGGGUAAAAUCCGUAGAUAUCACUAGGAAUACCGAAAGCGAAGGCGAUCUCCUGGAACAUAACUGACGCUAAGGCGUGAAAGCGUGGGGAGCAAACGGGAUUAGAUACCCUAGUAGUCC
Molecule: ribosomal RNA, 274 nt
Filed under: uncultured bacterium
Lineage: Bacteria
Description: partial 16S ribosomal RNA
Rfam family: Bacterial small subunit ribosomal RNA
Source: RNAcentral